RNAcentral lists this transfer RNA (78 nucleotides) under Candidatus Bathyarchaeota archaeon. RNAcentral describes it as "tRNA-Glu". It matches the Rfam family "tRNA". Rfam says of the family: Transfer RNA (tRNA) molecules are approximately 80 nucleotides in length. Their secondary structure includes four short double-helical elements and three loops (D, anti-codon, and T loops). Further hydrogen bonds mediate the characteristic L-shaped molecular structure. tRNAs have two regions of fundamental functional importance: the anti-codon, which is responsible for specific mRNA codon recognition, and the 3' end, to which the tRNAs corresponding amino acid is attached (by aminoacyl-tRNA synthetases). tRNAs cope with the degeneracy of the genetic code in two manners: having more than one tRNA (with a specific anti-codon) for a particular amino acid; and 'wobble' base-pairing, i.e. permitting non-standard base-pairing at the 3rd anti-codon position. The record is from RNAcentral. RNAcentral also lists the same sequence under 3 other names. Lineage: Archaea; Thermoproteati; Candidatus Bathyarchaeota.
GCUCCGGUAGUAUAGCCAGGUUAAGUAUUCCGGCCUUUCGAGCCGGAGACCCGGGUCCGAAUCCCGGCCGGAGCACCA